CGAAAGUCGGAGGUUCGAAGGCGAUCAGAUACCGCCCUAGUUCUGACCGUAAACGAUGCUAGCCGACCGCCCGCCAGGGUUACUACCGCGACUCGGCGGGCGGUGUCUUUUCCCGGGAAACCCUCGAGCCAUCGGGGUCCGGGGGAAGUACGGCUGCAAAACUGAAACUUAAAGGAAUUGACGGAAGGGCACCACCAGGAGUGGAGCCUGCGGCUUAAUUUGACUCAACACGGGGAACCUCACCCGGCCCGGACAGCGUGAGGAUUGACAGAUCGAUAGCUCUUUCUCGAUCCGUUGAUUGGUGGUGCAUGGCCGUUCUUAGUUGGUGGAUCGGUCUGUCUGGUUAAUUCCGAUAACGAACGAGACUCUAGCCUGUUAAAUAGCCCGUUGGCGUAAAAAAGCCAAGGGUUUACGCAAAGGAGCGGGAGUCCGCGGGGGUGCCAAGUCGGCGUGCUCCCGUCGGAUGACCCUCCCUAAGUGGGCCCGGCGAAACAAUGACGAGACAAAAAGGCGUUUCUCGGGGGGAGGGUCCGGUCGCCUCCGGUCCUUUCUUCGGUCACGUCGUCUCGCGCUAUCGGCUUUCGAGUGCAAAAGCUUCUUAGAGGGACUUACAGCUUAUAGCUGAACGAGAUUGA
RNAcentral lists this ribosomal RNA (635 nucleotides) under Mesoperipatus tholloni. Its description in RNAcentral is "bacterial SSU rRNA". It matches the Rfam family "Eukaryotic small subunit ribosomal RNA", at positions 984 to 1449 of the family's 1831-position model. Lineage: Eukaryota; Metazoa; Onychophora; Udeonychophora; Euonychophora; Peripatidae. The record is from RNAcentral.